GGUGGUUCUCCAGGCUAGCGAAAGUAAGUGGGGUGAUCUUGUGCCUUUCUUUCCUCAGUGCUCUCGCCCCUGAAACGUUUUGCUGCCAUUGCGCUUGGAAGCUGCCUGUAACUUCGAAACCAUCUCGACAGCUGGAGAGUGGAGUCCCACCCCCACAAAGAUGAUCAUUAAGUCAUGCACACCUUUCUGAGGAAAAGUUCUUGAACCAUUUCACCUGAUGAAAAGAACUUGAAAGCUUGUAUCACAUAUGCAUCACUUCUGCAACAUUAAAGUACAGUAGUCCUAAUACAGUAAAAGGAUCACUUACAGCAAAAUAAGUUGGCCAAUUCUUAGUGAAGAUUCCAGAAGGACACCUAUAUCUACAUUCAGGCUGAAAAAAGCCCAAGCCAGUAGAUGGGCGGGCAUUUUACAUACACUGGAGCA
Pogona vitticeps (central bearded dragon) is the source of this 423-nucleotide non-coding RNA. The record is from RefSeq and is a predicted model, not a curated record. Lineage: Eukaryota; Metazoa; Chordata; Lepidosauria; Squamata; Agamidae.